RNAcentral lists this small RNA (125 nucleotides) under Marmota monax (woodchuck). The record is from RNAcentral. Lineage: Eukaryota; Metazoa; Chordata; Mammalia; Rodentia; Sciuridae.
GCUGGGUAUGGUGGCGCACGCCUUUAAUCCCAGUGGCUCAGGAGGCUGAGACAGGAGGAUUGUGAGUUCAAAGCCAACCCCAGCAAUUUAAUUGCACUAAGCAACUCAGUGAGACCCUGUUUCUA